ACGGAAAAGUAACGAGGUGGAUAACGUUCUCGAGAACGACUGCGAUAACUUCGGGGAAUCGGGGGGGUAAUCCUUUGAGAAAAUAUGGAUCCCUCCUGGUUCAAUAAUGAAAGGCUUUUUUGUUAUCAUGAGGGGACCGAUGCUCACCGCGGACUCACUCGAUAUGGUAUCGUCGUUCCAAGGACGCUAUACCUAGCCGACCUGAGAGAGGGAUCCUCACACGCUGGAUCUGUCACACUGUCCCGAGUCUUGCGCGAGACUUCUCUAGGGGAGGUCAUUCUGCGAUGUGUGUGAGUCUGUGGUCCAAACCUCGAGCGAGCAUUGAGGUUGCUAGGAUAUUGUAACUUUGUGUCCAGGGGAUAUCAAAAGUUUGAUAAACUUACCACAUCUUGACUGUGCGAGAUCAGAAUACCAAGAAGCACUGGCUGACUGCGCCCCCGCUAUUACGUUGAUGGCCAAGGCGUUAUCAUGUAUUAUUGGGUGUAUAGCGCUUAAUAGGGUGGUUUUUUCAGUUUCAUAUGUCAGUGCACGGAUCUCGCCGUGUGAGGGUCAUUGUCAUCCGUGAAAUCUUGAGUGUAGAACAGGAAAGUGGAGUUGCAUGUGUAGCGGUGAAAUGCGCAGAGAUAUGGAGGAACACCAAUGGCGAAGGCGACUUUCUGGGCUGUAACUGACGCUGAUGUGACGAAAGCGUGGGGAUCAAACAGGAUUAGAUACCCUGGUAGUCCACGCCGUAAACGAUGACUGCUGCGUGUUAGGGCGUUUCCGCCCUUUAGUUCAGCAGCUAACGCAUUAAGCACUCCUCCUCGGGAGUGGGACCCCAAGGCUGAAACUCAAAUGAAUUGACGGGUUCCUGCCCAACCGAUGGGGCAGAUGGUUUAAUUGGAAGCAACGCGACGAGCCUAACCAAAUCUUCACAUCCUUGGGCCGCUCUAGAGAUAGAGUUAUCUCCUUCGGGGGACAAAGCGCCAGGUGGCAGCAUGGUUGUCGUCAGCUCGUGUCGUGAGAUGGUGGGUUAAGUCACGCAACGAGCGCAACCCCUCACUUUAGUUGCCAUCAUUCAGUUGGGCACUGUAAGGAGACUGCCGGUGACAAACCGGAGGAAGGUGGGGAUGACGUCAAAUCAUCAUGCCCUUUAUGAUUUGGGCUACACACGUCAUACAAUGGACGAUACAAAGGGCAGCUAAACCGCGAGGUCAAGCAAAUCCCAUAAAGCUGUUCCCAGUUCGGAUCGCAGUUUCCACUUUGUUUACAGGAAGAGGGAAUCGUUAGUAUUGGAGAUCCAGCAUGAUGCGGUGAAUACGUUCCCGGGUCU
RNAcentral lists this ribosomal RNA (1312 nucleotides) under uncultured bacterium. RNAcentral's name for it is "partial 16S ribosomal RNA". It matches the Rfam family "Bacterial small subunit ribosomal RNA", at positions 100 to 1381 of the family's 1533-position model. The record is from RNAcentral.